UCAGGCUGUGAUGACACACUUGCCCUCACUGAGAUCAGGCUUGAUUGAGACAAUUAAUUUUCCUGAGCCGCA
Chelmon rostratus (copperband butterflyfish) is the source of this 72-nucleotide small nucleolar RNA. RefSeq annotates it as small nucleolar RNA SNORD103/SNORD85. The transcript has a single exon. NCBI's taxonomy places the organism in Eukaryota, Metazoa, Chordata, Actinopteri, Chaetodontiformes, Chaetodontidae. The record is from RefSeq and is a predicted model, not a curated record.